CGCUGGCGGCACGCUAACACACGCAAGUCGAACGGAGUAUCGAGAGCUUGCUUUGAUAACUUAGUGGCGGACGGGUGAGUAACACGUGAGCAAUCUGCCCUUAAGAGGGGGAUAGCAGUUGGAAACGACUGAUAAUACCGCAUAAGAUAGUAGUACCGCAUGGUACAGCUAUAAAAGAUUUAUCGCUUAAGGAUGAGCUCGCGUCUGAUUAGCUAGUUGGUGAGGUAACGGCUCACCAAGGCAACGAUCAGUAGCCGGACUGAGAGGUUGGACGGCCACAUUGGGACUGAGACACGGCCCAGACUCCUACGGGAGGCAGCAGUGGGGAAUAUUGCACAAUGGAGGAAACUCUGAUGCAGCGAUGCCGCGUGAGGGAAGAAGGUUUUAGGAUUGUAAACCUCUGUUGACAGGGACGAUAAUGACGGUACCUGUUGAGGAAGCUCCGGCUAACUACGUGCCAGCAGCAGC
RNAcentral lists this ribosomal RNA (468 nucleotides) under uncultured bacterium. Its description in RNAcentral is "bacterial SSU rRNA". It matches the Rfam family "Bacterial small subunit ribosomal RNA", at positions 34 to 518 of the family's 1533-position model. The record is from RNAcentral.